GUGAGGAAUAUUGGACAAUGGGCGCAAGCCUGAUCCAGCCAUGCCGCGUGCAGGAAGACGCAUCUAUGGUGUGUAAACUGCUUUUGUACGGGAAGAAACACUCCCUCGUGAGGGAGCUUGACGGUACCGUAAAAAUAAGGAUCGGCUAACUCCGUGCCAGCAGCCGCGGUAAUACGGAGGAUCCAAGCGUUAUCCGGAAUCAUUGGGUUUAAAGGGUCCGUAGGCGGUUUAAUAAGUCAGUGGUGAAAGCCCAUCGCUCAACGAUGGAACGGCCAUUGAUACUGUUAGACUUGAAUUACAAGGAAGUAACUAGAAUAUGUAGUGUAGCGGUGAAAUGCUUAGAUAUUACAUGGAAUACCAAUUGCGAAGGCAGGUUACUACUUGUGGAUUGACGCUGAUGGACGAAAGCGUGGGGAGCGAACAGGAUUAGAUACCCCUGUAGUCC
This 445-nucleotide ribosomal RNA is filed under the name uncultured bacterium. Its description in RNAcentral is "partial 16S ribosomal RNA". It matches the Rfam family "Bacterial small subunit ribosomal RNA", at positions 354 to 796 of the family's 1533-position model. The record is from RNAcentral.